CGAACGAGAAGCGAACCUGCGAAGGCAAGCGGAUCUCUUAAAGACCGUUCUCAGUUCGGACUGUAGGCUGCAACUCGCCUACACGAAGCUGGAAUCGCUAGUAAUCGCGGAUCAGCACGCCGCGGUGAAUACGUUCCCGGGCCUUGUACACACCGCCCGUCACACCAUGAGAGUCUGUAACACCCAAAGCCGGUGGGAUAACCUUUAUAGGAGUCAGCCGUCUAAGGUAGGACAGAUGAUUAGGGUGAAGUCGUAACAAGGUAGC
RNAcentral lists this ribosomal RNA (265 nucleotides) under uncultured bacterium. Its description in RNAcentral is "partial 16S ribosomal RNA". It matches the Rfam family "Bacterial small subunit ribosomal RNA", at positions 1239 to 1500 of the family's 1533-position model. The record is from RNAcentral.